AGGUCUUGCCUAAGAAGCAGCUGAUGUGUCUGGGGGUACGCUUUGCAAAGUGACAUCACUUCACCGGGUCGUGACCUGUGCUUCACUUGGGUUCAAGAGGUCAGGUGGAAGAGUGGUCGUUAAGAUGCCUUCUCCAGACCUCCCCAUUCUUCCCGAUGGCACUACGAAAUACAGUCUCAUUGCUGUGGACAUGACAGAGAAGUCCCAAACAAAGCCGAAGACGCGCGCUCCUCGUCAAUAUGAAAAGGACACGCUGUGACAUGACAGACGGAAGGAAGGAAAGACGGAAGAGGGAGGGACCAAUGAACUCGAAGAGGAACAAGAUGGACGAGAGAGAAACAUGUCACACAUCUGUCACAUAAUCUCUGUCACACCCACUGACACAGGAAGAGCCAUCUCAGGAGACCGUGCCCCUACCGCCUCUCGGGACACCUAGCUGGACUCUCAUUUUGUGGGCUAAAAUAACUACACCAGGCAGAACUAUUGCUGGGCCCUCUUCAGGUGGAUUUGAGCGGCUGGCUGGGAGCUCCUCUGACCCUCAAUUACACGGGACCAUGGGGGCUCCAGUGUGCCUCCCGCUGCCUUUUCUCUCCUGGGAACGAGCUGCACGUGUGGCCAGAGAGUCGGGUUUCCAGCAGCAGCCUUCCUCCUCUCCUGGGCGUGCUCUGUCAG
Long non-coding RNA from Boleophthalmus pectinirostris (great blue-spotted mudskipper), 672 nucleotides. RefSeq lists it as uncharacterized. NCBI's taxonomy places the organism in Eukaryota, Metazoa, Chordata, Actinopteri, Gobiiformes, Gobiidae. The transcript has 5 exons. The record is from RefSeq and is a predicted model, not a curated record.